RNAcentral lists this ribosomal RNA (393 nucleotides) under uncultured bacterium. RNAcentral describes it as "partial 16S ribosomal RNA". It matches the Rfam family "Bacterial small subunit ribosomal RNA", at positions 523 to 918 of the family's 1533-position model. The record is from RNAcentral.
CUACGGAGGAUGCGAGCGUUAUCCGGAUUUAUUGGGUUUAAAGGGAGCGUAGGUGGGAUAUUAAGUCAGCUGUGAAAGUUUGGGGCUCAACCUUAAAAUUGCAGUUGAUACUGGUUUCCUUGAGUACGGUACAGGUGGGCGGAAUUCGUGGUGUAGCGGUGAAAUGCUUAGAUAUCACGAAGAACUCCGAUCGCGAAGGCAGCUCACCGGGCCGGAACUGACACUGAUGCUCGAAAGUGCGGGUAUCAAACAGGAUUAGAUACCCUGGUAGUCCGCACAGUAAACGAUGAAUACUCGCUGUUUGCGAUACACGGUAAGCGGCCAAGCGAAAGCGUUAAGUAUUCCACCUGGGGAGUACGCCGGCAACGGUGAAACUCAAAGGAAUUGGCGGGG